Molecule: ribosomal RNA, 500 nt
Filed under: uncultured bacterium
Lineage: Bacteria
Description: partial 16S ribosomal RNA
Rfam family: Bacterial small subunit ribosomal RNA
Source: RNAcentral
ACUCAAAGGAAUUGACGGGGGCCCGCACAAGCAGUGGAGCAUGUGGUUUAAUUCGACGCAACGCGCAGAACCUUACCCGGGCUAGAAAAGCAUGGAACUUCCUAGAAAUAGGUUGGUGCUCGCAAGAGAACCAUGAUCCAGGUGCUGCAUGGCUGUCGUCAGCUCGUGUCGUGAGAUGUUGGGUUAAGUCCCGCAACGAGCGCAACCCUUGUCCUCAGUUGCCAUCAUUUAGUUGGGCUACUCUGAGGAGACUGCCGGCGUCAAGCCGGAGGAAGGUGGGGAUGACGUCAAGUCCUCAUGGCCCUUAUGUCCGGGGCUACACACGUGCUACAAUGGUCGGUACAGAACGUCGCGUACCCGCGAGGGGAAGCCAAUCGGCAAAAGCCGACCUCAGUACGGAUUGCAGUCUGCAACUCGACUGCAUGAAGCCGGAAUUGCUAGUAAUCGCUAAUCAGCAGGUAGCGGUGAAUACGUUCCCGGGCCUUGUACACACCGCCCGU